Molecule: ribosomal RNA, 647 nt
Filed under: uncultured bacterium
Lineage: Bacteria
Description: bacterial SSU rRNA
Rfam family: Bacterial small subunit ribosomal RNA
Source: RNAcentral
CUGCUAUCACUCUUGGAUGGACCUGCGGUGCAUUAGCUAGUUGGUAAGGUAACGGCUUACCAAGGCAAUGAUGCAUAGCCGAGUUGAGAGACUGAUCGGCCACAUUGGGACUGAGACACGGCCCAAACUCCUACGGGAGGCAGCAGUAGGGAAUCUUCCACAAUGGACGAAAGUCUGAUGGAGCAACGCCGCGUGAGUGAAGAAGGGUUUCGGCUCGUAAAGCUCUGUUGGUAGUGAAGAAAGAUAGAGGUAGUAACUGGCCUUUAUUUGACGGUAAUUACUUAGAAAGUCACGGCUAACUACGUGCCAGCAGCCGCGGUAAUACGUAGGUGGCAAGCGUUGUCCGGAUUUAUUGGGCGUAAAGCGAGUGCAGGCGGUUCAAUAAGUCUGAUGUGAAAGCCUUCGGCUCAACCGGAGAAUUGCAUCAGAAACUGUUGAACUUGAGUGCAGAAGAGGAGAGUGGAACUCCAUGUGUAGCGGUGGAAUGCGUAGAUAUAUGGAAGAACACCAGUGGCGAAGGCGGCUCUCUGGUCUGCAACUGACGCUGAGGCUCGAAAGCAUGGGUAGCGAACAGGAUUAGAUACCCUGGUAGUCCAUGCCGUAAACGAUGAGUGCUAAGUGUUGGGAGGUUUCCGCCUCUCAGUGCU